Molecule: small RNA, 28 nt
Filed under: Bombyx mori (domestic silkworm)
Lineage: Eukaryota; Metazoa; Arthropoda; Insecta; Lepidoptera; Bombycidae
Description: ovarian small RNA-34930
Source: RNAcentral
UGGCUGACUCCGAUUCUGACUCAGAUCG